RNAcentral lists this ribosomal RNA (501 nucleotides) under uncultured bacterium. Its description in RNAcentral is "partial 16S ribosomal RNA". It matches the Rfam family "Bacterial small subunit ribosomal RNA", at positions 30 to 523 of the family's 1533-position model. The record is from RNAcentral.
AUUGAACGCUGGCGGCAGGCUUAACACAUGCAAGUCGAGCGGGGGAAGGUAGCUUGCUACCGGACCUAGCGGCGGACGGGUGAGUAAUGCUUAGGAAUCUGCCUAUUAGUGGGGGACAACAUCUCGAAAGGGAUGCUAAUACCGCAUACGUUCUACGGGAGAAAGCAGGGGAUCUUCGGACCUUGCGCUAAUAGAUGAGCCUAAGUCGGAUUAGCUAGUUGGUGGGGUAAAGGACUACCAAGGCGACGAUCUGUAGCGGGUCUGAGAGGAUGAUCCGCCACACUGGGACUGAGCAACGGCCCAGACUCCUACGGGAGGCAGCAGUGGGGAAUAUUGGACAAUGGGGGGAACCCUGAUCCAGCCAUGCCGCGUGUGUGAAGAAGGCCUUAUGGUUGUAAAGCACUUUAAGCGAGGAGGAGGCUACUUUAGUUAAUACCUAGAGAUAGUGGACGUUACUCGCAGAAUAAGCACCGGCUAACUCUGUGCCAGCAGCCGCCGUAA